This 1056-nucleotide unclassified non-coding RNA is filed under the name Hevea brasiliensis (rubber tree). Lineage: Eukaryota; Viridiplantae; Streptophyta; Magnoliopsida; Malpighiales; Euphorbiaceae. The record is from RNAcentral.
AACGAACAGAUCGGUGUGUUACAGAAGAAAUCUACAAAAGGGUAGGGUUUCCGUUUUCUCUGUCUAAGUAGUUGCCGCCGGAAAAUUGAACAGAGAGAAGCCAUGGACGGCGUAAUGUCGGCGUCGGACCAGCAGAUGUUAGUUUCUUCUUUCCUCGAAAUCGCCGUUGGUCAAACCGCCGAUACUGCCCGGCAGUUCCUCCAGGCAACAAGCUGGAAGCUUGAGGAAGCAAUUCAGCUUUUCUACAUAGGAAAUGAGGGUGGGGCAGCAGCAUCUUUUAACUCUCCACAAUUGGGGAAUGAUGCACUUCUUGGUGAUCCAAGCUUGAGUGGAGUUGGAAACGACUCAGCAGACACCAAUUUGUUACAAGGCGAUGGAGAUGAUGUACGUCCACCUUUACCUGUAAAAAGGGAAGUUCUUUAUGACAAUGCGGUACUUUAUGGUUCUUCAGGAAUGGGAGGUUCAUCACGUGAACCUCGUCUAGUAGUUCCCUUCCGCAACUUUGAGGAGGAAAUGAAGCAUCCGGGAGUCUGGGAGGCAGAGAAACGUUCUACUUCUACAGCAGAUGCUGCUCAAGACAAUCUUGCUUCUUUGUAUCGUCCUCCUUUUGCCUUGAUGUACCAUGGGUCUUUUGAGAAGGCAAAAGAUGCUGCUAGAGCUCAAAACAGAUGGCUCUUGGUGAAUAUGCAGUCCACGCGAGAAUUCAGCUCACAUAUGCUUAACCGAGACACUUGGGCUAAUGAGGCUGUUGCCCAGACUAUCAAAAGUAACUUCAUCUUCUGGCAGGUGUAUGAUGAUACUGAGGAGGGCAGCAAAGUUUGCACGUACUACAAGUUAGAUUCUAUGCCUGUCGUAAUGGUAAUUGAUCCUAUAACAGGUCAGAAGAUGCGUUCUUGGCGUGGAAUGGUUCAGCCUGAAACUUUGCUAGAGGACCUCAUAUCCUUCAUGGAUGCUAGCCCCUCAGAAUAUCAUGUUAAUCUAUCUCAUAAACGACCCAGAGAAACUCCUCAGGCACCUCGUCAUCCCCAACCUCAACCUCAACCUCAACCUCAACCU